This 519-nucleotide unclassified non-coding RNA is filed under the name Hevea brasiliensis (rubber tree). Lineage: Eukaryota; Viridiplantae; Streptophyta; Magnoliopsida; Malpighiales; Euphorbiaceae. The record is from RNAcentral.
UUGAACGGUUGCUCUACAAGUUCUAUGUGUAUCUAUUUCUUUUUUUUUUAAUAUACCUUUUUUUUUUUUACUUCGGAAAUGUUUAAAGGGAAGGGGAACCAUGAUGAGGUUCAACUUGUUGACUAUUUAUCGAAUGAGACACUCUACCAUUGAGCUGCCGAUCCAAUAUAGGAAUUUGCAAUGCCACCCUAUCACUACAUCAAUUUCAUCAUCUAUGAUUGCUGAGGCAGUGAAAGAGAAAGCACAGAGCUGAUUCCAUGGGUGUUAUUUCUAGAUUUCCAGAAACUAUGGUCACUUCAGCAUGCAAAUGAAUGCCCCUGCACAAUCUUCAGUUUUUCUCUGAUAAGCCUAUCCUGAUCCUCAUUGGGUUAUUGCGAAAUUGUGAAUCCAUUUUUAGCAUAAAUCCCUUGUUUGUCACUUGUGACCGGGAACUUGAAUUUUCUUCGAGUUGAGAAGUAUAACUGGGCAGAUACAAGAAACUGUGAUAAAUCACCGCCUUUUUCUUAAAAAAAAAAAAAA